This 452-nucleotide long non-coding RNA is filed under the name Ictidomys tridecemlineatus (thirteen-lined ground squirrel). RNAcentral describes it as "lncRNA (ENSSTOG00000034499.1)". Lineage: Eukaryota; Metazoa; Chordata; Mammalia; Rodentia; Sciuridae. The record is from RNAcentral.
CUAGGCUUCUUCCGCCCAAGAUGGUGGCCCAGCAGCAGCUCAGUCCAAGCUGGUGAAGCAAACUCCUCUGUCCACUCUGGUCCUGUGUCCACAAGGAGCCAACUCCCUGAGGAAUUCAUGAGCAGCCCCACCAAUGUGCUUGCUGACAGGUACUCUGUGUCCUCCUGGCAUCCUGGGGCCCUGCUGCAGGAAGAGGCCCCUCUAAUGCCAAGGUCCCACUCCUCCUCGAGGCUUGAUAGAUCUUUUUCUCAAGACUGGAAAGCACUGAGCUGAUCCUGGGAAGACAGGCUCGAAGUCAUUCUAUCCAUGGGGAGGCUGUGAGGAAGGCAGAGCUGGGAGCCCGCUCCUGCCAGGUCAGCUGGAAGCUCUGGGCCCUGCAGCCAGCAGCUUCCAGGUAAGAGAUCUUCCCACAGAGCAUUGGGGAAAGACUCUGGCCCCGUGCUAGCAACGUG